Molecule: ribosomal RNA, 490 nt
Filed under: uncultured bacterium
Lineage: Bacteria
Description: partial 16S ribosomal RNA
Rfam family: Bacterial small subunit ribosomal RNA
Source: RNAcentral
AUUGAACGCUGGCGGCAUGCCUUACACAUGCAAGUCGAACGGCAGCAUGAUCUAGCUUGCUAGAUUGAUGGCGAGUGGCGAACGGGUGAGUAAUACGUCGGAACGUGCCCUGUAGUGGGGGAUAACUAGUCGAAAGAUUAGCUAAUACCGCAUACGACCUGAGGGUGAAAGUGGGGGACCGCAAGGCCUCAUGCUAUAGGAGCGGCCGAUGUCUGAUUAGCUAGUUGGUGAGGUAAAGGCUCACCAAGGCGACGAUCAGUAGCUGGUCUGAGAGGACGAUCAGCCACACUGGGACUGAGACACGGCCCAGACUCCUACGGGAGGCAGCAGUGGGGAAUUUUGGACAAAGGGCGAAAGCCUGAUCCAGCAAUGCCGCGUGUGUGAAGAAGGCCUUCGGGUUGUAAAGCACUUUUGUCCGGAAAGAAAUGGCUCUGGUUAAUACCUGGGGUCGAUGACGGUACCGGAAGAAUAAGGACCGGCUAACUACGUG